UACAGAGGGUGCUAGCGUUGCUCGGAAUCACUGGGCGUAAAGCGCACGUAGGCGGAUUUCUAAGUCAGGGGUGAAAUCCUGGAGCUCAACUCCAGAACUGCCUUUGAUACUGGGAAUCUCGAGUCCGGGAGAGGUGAGUGGAACUGCGAGUGUAGAGGUGAAAUUCGUAGAUAUUCGCAAGAACACCAGUGGCGAAGGCGGCUCACUGGCCCGGUACUGACGCUGAGGUGCGAAAGCGUGGGGAGCAAACAGGG
Molecule: ribosomal RNA, 254 nt
Filed under: uncultured bacterium
Lineage: Bacteria
Description: partial 16S ribosomal RNA
Rfam family: Bacterial small subunit ribosomal RNA
Source: RNAcentral